This 496-nucleotide ribosomal RNA is filed under the name uncultured bacterium. RNAcentral describes it as "partial 16S ribosomal RNA". It matches the Rfam family "Bacterial small subunit ribosomal RNA", at positions 29 to 523 of the family's 1533-position model. The record is from RNAcentral.
AUUGAGCGCUGGCGGCAUGCUUUACACAUGCAAGUCGAACGGUAGAGGGGGCAACCCCUUGAGAGUGGCGAACGGGUGAGUAAUGCAUCGGAACGUGCCCAGUCGUGGGGGAUAACGCAGCGAAAGCUGUGCUAAUACCGCAUACGAUCUCUGGAUGAAAGCGGGGGACCGAAAGGCCUCGCGCGAUUGGAGCGGCCGAUGUCAGAUUAGGUAGUUGGUGGGGUAAAGGCUCACCAAGCCAACGAUCUGUAGCUGGUAUGAGAGGACGACCAGCCACACUGGGAAUGAGACACGGCCCAGACUCCUACGGGAGGCGGCAGUGGGGAAUUUUGGACAAUGGGCGCAAGCCUGAUCCAGCAAUGCCGCGGGCAGGAAGAAGGCCUUCGGGUUGUAAACUGCUUUUGUACGGAACGAAAAGGUCUGGGUUAAUACCCUGGGCACAUGACGGUACCGUAAGAAUAAGCACCGGCUAACUACGUGCCAGCCGCCGCCGUAA